UCGCUUUGCAGUAUCUUUAGCGCACGUGCCUUCUAAGCAUGUGGUCGCAGGUUCGAAUCCUGCAGGGCGUGCCA
This 74-nucleotide transfer RNA is filed under the name Vibrio coralliilyticus. RNAcentral describes it as "tRNA-Arg". The stretch from base 11 to 71 matches the Rfam family "tRNA". Rfam says of the family: Transfer RNA (tRNA) molecules are approximately 80 nucleotides in length. Lineage: Bacteria; Pseudomonadati; Pseudomonadota; Gammaproteobacteria; Vibrionales; Vibrionaceae. The record is from RNAcentral.